AUUUGCUUAUUACUUAAAAAGUCUAUAGCUACCAAUACAACAUAAAAUACUUAUUUUUUUCCUUUCCUUUAUAUUUCAGUUGAAUCCAGCAGGUGUGUGACAGAUGUUCAGACAAUUGACAAAGCAUUUGGUGACCAGUCUGUUUUUACAAUAACAUGGAAGUGAUUUACCUGAUGUCUUGCGGAUAAUGGUAGAAAUCCUGACAUAAUGGAUAUCAUGAUUUGCUGUAUAUGUCACCAUGCAGUUGAAGACAACCAAGGCUCUAAACUUACAGUAAAAGGAUGCGAUGCAGUGGAAUAAAUGAUGCUAGCUUGAAGAGACAGGAUAAUGUUCAGGCUGUUCCAGGAAAUUUUGUUCACAUUGCAUGUCGAAAGACGUACACAAAUGCUAAUGUUAUUGUUCGCGAUACAAAAGAAAACCUUAGUCCAAACACCAGAUUUGUGAGGUCUAAAGCUGAUGUAUUGAAUUUUCAAGAACAUUGUAUAUUUUGUGGUCAUUCUGCUAAAUACAAUGACAGAAAACGCGGUUUGGAUGUUUUUCCAGUAAGGACAUUAGAGUUUCAAAAAACUAUAACAGAGUUGUGUUCAGCUACAGGAGAUGAUUGGGCUGAUAAGGUCCGG
Molecule: long non-coding RNA, 620 nt
Organism: Dreissena polymorpha
Lineage: Eukaryota; Metazoa; Mollusca; Bivalvia; Myida; Dreissenidae
Exons: 3
Source: RefSeq, a predicted model, not a curated record